GACGAACGCUGGCGGCGUGCUUAACACAUGCAAGUCGAACGGAAAGGCCCUGCUUUUGUGGGGUGCUCGAGUGGCGAACGGGUGAGUAACACGUGAGUAACCUGCCCUUGACUUUGGGAUAACUUCAGGAAACUGGGGCUAAUACCGGAUAGGAGCUCCUGCUGCAUGGUGGGGGUUGGAAAGUUUCGGCGGUUGGGGAUGGACUCGCGGCUUAUCAGCUUGUUGGUGGGGUAGUGGCUUACCAAGGCUUUGACGGGUAGCCGGCCUGAGAGGGUGACCGGCCUCCUUGGGACUGAGAUACGGACCAGACUCCUACGGGAGGCAGCAGUGGGGAGUAUUGCGCAAUGGGCGGAAGCCUGAUGCAGCAACGCCGCGUGCGGGAUGACGGCCUUCGGGUUGUAAACCGCUUUCGCCUGUGACGAAGCGUGAGUGACGGUAAUGGGUAAAGAAGCACCGGCUAACUACGUG
This 468-nucleotide ribosomal RNA is filed under the name uncultured bacterium. Its description in RNAcentral is "partial 16S ribosomal RNA". It matches the Rfam family "Bacterial small subunit ribosomal RNA", at positions 28 to 507 of the family's 1533-position model. The record is from RNAcentral.